RNAcentral lists this non-coding RNA (99 nucleotides) under Terrabacter sp. RNAcentral describes it as "Glycine sequence". It matches the Rfam family "Glycine riboswitch aptamer". From Rfam's summary of the family: This family represents the bacterial glycine riboswitch. Glycine riboswitches usually consist of two metabolite-binding aptamers domains with similar structures in tandem. Lineage: Bacteria; Bacillati; Actinomycetota; Actinomycetes; Micrococcales; Intrasporangiaceae. The record is from RNAcentral.
CGACCCUGCGUGGGAGAGUCCUCGGGGUGCGAGCACCUGCGAGGCGCCGAAGGGGCAACAUCCCCGGAACCUCUCAGGCGCCAGGACCAUGCGGGCGAG